This 1347-nucleotide ribosomal RNA is filed under the name uncultured bacterium. Its description in RNAcentral is "partial 16S ribosomal RNA". It matches the Rfam family "Bacterial small subunit ribosomal RNA", at positions 28 to 1381 of the family's 1533-position model. The record is from RNAcentral.
GACGAACGCUGGCGGCGUGCUUAACACAUGCAAGUCGAACGGAAAGGCCCUGCUUUUGUGGGGUGCUCGAGUGGCGAACGGGUGAGUAACACGUGAGUAACCUGCCCUUGACUUUGGGAUAACUUCAGGAAACUGGGGCUAAUACCGGAUAGGAGCUCCUGCUGCAUGGUGGGGGUCGGAAAGUUUCGGCGGUUGGGGAUGGACUCGCGGCUUAUCAGCUUGUUGGUGGGGUAGUGGCUUACCAAGGCUUUGACGGGUAGCCGGCCUGAGAGGGUGACCGGCCACAUUGGGACUGAGAUACGGCCCAGACUCCUACGGGAGGCAGCAGUGGGGAAUAUUGCACAAUGGGCGGAAGCCUGAUGCAGCAACGCCGCGUGCGGGAUGACGGCCUUCGGGUUGUAAACCGCUUUCGCCUGUGACGAAGCGUGAGUGACGGUAAUGGGUAAAGAAGCACCGGCUAACUACGUGCCAGCAGCCGCGGUGAUACGUAGGGUGCGAGCGUUGUCCGGAUUUAUUGGGCGUAAAGGGCUCGUAGGUGGUUGAUCGCGUCGGAAGUGUAAUCUUGGGGCUUAACCCCUGAGCGUGCUUUCGAUACGGGUUGACUUGAGGAAGGUAGGGGAGAAUGGAAUUCCUGGUGGAGCGGUGGAAUGCGCAGAUAUCAGGAGGAACACCAGUGGCGAAGGCGGUUCUCUGGGCCUUUCCUGACGCUGAGGAGCGAAAGCGUGGGGAGCGAACAGGCUUAGAUACCCUGGUAGUCCACGCUGUAAACGGUGGGUACUAGGUGUGGGGUCCAUUCCACGGGUUCCGUGCCGUAGCUAACGCUUUAAGUACCCCGCCUGGGGAGUACGGUCGCAAGGCUAAAACUCAAAGGAAUUGACGGGGCCCCGCACAAGCGGCGGAGCAUGCGGAUUAAUUCGAUGCAACGCGUAGAACCUUACCUGGGUUUGACAUGGAUCGGGAGUGCUCAGAGAUGGGUGUGCCUCUUUUGGGGUCGGUUCACAGGUGGUGCAUGGCUGUCGUCAGCUAGUGUCGUGAGAUGUUGGGUUAAGUCCCGCAACGAGCGCAACCCUUGUUCACUGUUGCCAGCACGUUAUGGUGGGGACUCAGUGGAGACCGCCGGGGUCAACUCGGAGGAAGGUGGGGAUGACGUCAAGUCAUCAUGCCCCUUAUGUCCAGGGCUUCACGCAUGCUACAAUGGCUGGUACAGAGAGUGGCGAGCCUGUGAGGGUGAGCGAAUCUCGGAAAGCCGGUCUCAGUUCGGAUUGGGGUCUGCAACUCGACCUCAUGAAGUCGGAGUCGCUAGUAAUCGCAGAUCAGCAACGCUGCGGUGAAUACGUUCCCGGGGCU